Molecule: long non-coding RNA, 423 nt
Organism: Lacerta agilis (Sand lizard)
Lineage: Eukaryota; Metazoa; Chordata; Lepidosauria; Squamata; Lacertidae
Exons: 3
Source: RefSeq, a predicted model, not a curated record
CUUCUGGUCGGGGAAGAGAAGGGGCUCCGAUUCCCGCCAGGGGGCGAAUACUGUACCCUGAAAACGUCUUGACAUCUUGAAGCAAUCAGCGGCUGCGAAAAGGCACGUGCCUCCGGCAGCCAAGGGACAAGCGAGACGUGACAGCAGCAAGAGUCUUGAGUGCCAGGCCUGGAUCGCUUCCAUUUCCCUGCACAGCAAACUGUGUCUCUGUGUGAAUUUAAAGCACAGAAUGGGCAACAGGGUGGUGUUUAUGUGUGCCAAAUAUUUUCCCUGGCCAGGCCUCUUCCCUCUAACGUUGCUUCUGCCUGAUUUUCUCUCUGCGGGGCUAACUCCCACUAUGGGCCCCUUUCGACACCCCCUUUUAUUAUGGCACAUUCAAAAUCAUUUGUGUUCAUGAGGGGAUCGGGCCAGUUAUACCAGUGG